RNAcentral lists this ribosomal RNA (253 nucleotides) under uncultured bacterium. RNAcentral's name for it is "partial 16S ribosomal RNA". It matches the Rfam family "Bacterial small subunit ribosomal RNA", at positions 524 to 776 of the family's 1533-position model. The record is from RNAcentral.
UACGGGGGGGGUAAGCGUUGUUCGGAAUUACUGGGCGUAAAGGGCUCGUAGGCGGCCAACUAAGUCAGACGUGAAAUCCCUCAGCUUAACUGGGGAACUGCGUGUGAUACUGGAUGGCUUGGAUCCGGAAGAGGGAUGCGGAAUUCCAGGUGUAGCGGUGAAAUGCGUAGAUAUCUGGAGGAACACCGGUGGCGAAGGCGGCAUCCUGGGCCGGUAUUGACGCUGAGGAGCGAAAGCCAGGGGAGCAAACGGG